CUUUUCGAACUCCCCCGACCGUCCGAGCUUUCAUAAUACCAUCCGAACUUCUCCAAUAAUGGGCUCCUCCAUUCAUCUACCGAACUGCUCCAAACACUUUCUGAGCUUCACUACCAGCUGAUUUUCUAUAGUGAUCGACUAUUCUUCGAAUCUCUUCCAGACUUCUUCCAGCCAUGAACUACUUUACUCCGAAUUUCUUUCGGACUUCGUC
This 211-nucleotide long non-coding RNA is filed under the name Elaeis guineensis (African oil palm). RNAcentral's name for it is "long non-coding RNA (EGUI_LNC050391)". The record is from RNAcentral. Lineage: Eukaryota; Viridiplantae; Streptophyta; Magnoliopsida; Arecales; Arecaceae.